Varroa destructor (honeybee mite) is the source of this 3505-nucleotide long non-coding RNA. The record is from RefSeq and is a predicted model, not a curated record. NCBI's taxonomy places the organism in Eukaryota, Metazoa, Arthropoda, Arachnida, Mesostigmata, Varroidae.
CGCUGUAGCAGGGCAUUACGCCCACGGAGCUAUGACCUAAUGUGAAUGCAUUACGAAUACAAACUUUAUAUUCAUUAUAUCCGUAUGGGAAAAGUGCUGAGUAUAACAGCCUUGACGUAAUUCGAAGGUAUCCAAGGAGCAUUUCGCUUGCAUGGCCAGGUAUCCACACACAUAGAUCACGUAGGAAGAAGGAGCUAGGUAAAAUGUGUACGCGUCCCCAAAUGGUUUACAUGACUCUCAUAUAGGCACAUGGAAACCCUAGCAAAAGUAUAAUUAAGCAACACAUUCACAUCAUGAUUAUCUUCGCAAAACACUACUAAUACACUGCAUGUGAUGGACCAUAACUGCAUCGAUAUAAGACUGCGUAGGUUCUUCAGAGACGGAUGCGCGCCCCCAACAAAUGUCACCCAAAUCAACUUGAUCCUUUCGAAAAGACACACACAGCGUUGAUCACUUGGCAAGUUCCGAGCGUACGGUGAAGCGUUGAGUCGUAACUCAUUCACACCGGUACCAGCUGGUAACUCCAGUUGGAACACUAGCCCAUAAAAGACCCUUCGGAGCUAACUCUGAGAAAUCGACGAUGAACCAGCACUUCCAUCAGGAAAAACAACCACGACAGAGGUUAAAAGAAGUAUUGCGUUGUUCCAUUCCUGAGUACUCGCAGUUUUCGCCGUUUAGCCGUUUACUUAUAACUGCAUAUAGAAAAGUUCCUAUGAUUGCGCCGGGGACACGGGAAACACAAUAGCCAUAAACAUAACACUUGUAGGUCUGCACCAGGUGCCCAGAGGACUGAACUACGGAACAUUUUCUUGGCUGAAUCACCAGUUACGUUUCACCUUUGGCGGCAAACCGCUUUUCUACCGCAUCGAUAUCAGUAAGAGACUAUGACGACCGUGCUCAUUAUUGGCCAACGAUCGCUACGAUUGCCUGAUCUCUAGACUGCGUAGACGCUAGGACAGGUGAAACGAUUCGCGUCUUGUGGCGUUUCACCGACGGUAAGCGGCGGCAACGAAUAGACAAGCAAACGUCGUUCAUGUCCAUAGGCCGUGCGCGACUCUCAGUGGGCAAGAGUGUUGAACUGCUCCUGUAGCCGCUGAUUCUGCUACCGUUAGUGUAGUAGUGAGCCACAACGGCAAACGCUGUUUGAAGGAAGGAACUGUCAUGCCGCUCACGGAGAAGGGACUGCGACAAUGCAACGUACCGUGAGUACACAGCAGCAGCGUCUGUCAGCGGAACACGAACGAACGAGCAGUAUUCUACUGAAAAGUGGCGGUCGACGAUGCAAAAAAAACAGUGUUAUAAGUGUCUCUGCGUGCGCUGUGGCCACAAUGCAAUUUUCUAUAGUAACAACAACGAUGAUGACGACGAAGAUGACAACCCCUUAACAUCAGCAAGAUUAGCAACAAUAACAAUGGCGUAAAAAGCGUGCGAUAUUUAACGUUAAAAAGAACAAAGAAGAACCUGGUUUUUUUUUUUCUAGGCAGAGUAGGUUGAAAAGACAUAUCUUGUUUCUCUUGCUGAAGAAGCAAGUAGAUGGAUGUAUGUUGGACUAUAGUUCAGCCGGUGUCGGAAACCGGGUAGACAAGGGAUAGGAAACGAACGUUUAGAAAUCACUGAGUUGCGCAUUUAGUGUUUGUUCGUGUACUCUUGCCUCAUGUUUCGCGACACUGCCCUUCUUUUAUAUAUACGAUUCGACCGCUACUGGAAAGCUAUUGACUGAAACUGCUUUUUCUAACAGCACUAAUCGGGCGGCCCUGUUAUACUGUGAACUGCUGGAUAUCUCGUGCCGCUUUUGAGAGUCAUCUGGCAAUUUUUCCAUGAAAACUAAGCCCAGUUGAAGAGAUAACGUCAACUUACCAAACGUGCCUAUGUAUACUGACAAAAACACGUAAAAGGCAUUUUCGUUUUAACAAAUACUCUCUGCAGAGUAGCCCGUUUUUCACUGCUCGGAUACGCGCUCCCGCAGCAGCUAUCAAAAAAAGGUACAGAAGUAACUUAAGCUACUAAAAAAUGGCGACAAGUUUCGAAAAUAAUAAGACUCCAAAUAUAGACGGAAGCUUCCCCGUCUGUUUCUCCUCUGCCUUCCACCGUACGCGUGAAAAAUGCGUCUCAACGUCUCAACAUUUGCAGCUAAAGUCCCCGGAGGGGACCCUGUCGAGAUGCGGAUUUCGUUGCUGUCGUGUGUGCACGUUUCUGCCGCUGGACAAGCCGAUCAUCAACCUGCAUAUAUAACAGGAGCGCGUGGACAGGGCCGCCCUGUUGGCCUACGUCAGAUAAACGCACAUGGAUCGAAACUAGGCCCCAUGGCAGAAUGGACAAGAAUUACUAGCGUUGAUAAAAUAUCAAACGUAUCAUGUGUGUUUUUUUUUAUAUAUUUUUUUGAGCUAAUAGCUAUUUUAUCCAGUGUGGAUAUACGAGUCUUCCGAUUUAAUCAAUAGUAUAAAUAUAUAUAAUUUUCAAGGCGGCCAAAAUACUGUUACGUGUGUAAUAAGAAUAAUGGCAACACGAGUGAUCUAGCUAUUACGAGUAUUCAAAAUUUUUAUAGAUAACCGCUCGUUUUGGUUAAGGGUAAUUCCUAUGGACUGCUAUCUGGAAUCAUUUGAAUAAGAAUAUAUGACCAGAAAGGCACCUUAUUUUGGUCAGUCUGAGUCGAUGCAUCCAGUCGCGCAAACAGCGAGUUAUAGUAAGGCCGUUACUAACUACCCUGUUAAGGCCGUUACUACCGCUCAUUGGAAAAUAUCCGUCUGAUAUUGUUACUGCUAUGGCCUGCAUUAAUACUAUUGUCUGAUUAUGCCAUAUUGCUCGCCGUUCUAUUAUGUGGAAUGCUGAACAGCUUGCUCAGUCGUUUGGUUUAUGUCCUGACUAAGCAAUGGUAAGACAGGGUCACUGGGGCCCGCUUUAAUUCACGUUUUGCUAAAUCAGCAAACGGUACAAAAGGAGCCUUGUGAGGUCUUACAAGAGCAAACGAUACUUACCGACGGCCUUCGAGAUUCAGGCAAUACAGAAAAUUUCACUUGUUUUUUUACUUCUACCUUCCCCUCUUCAAUGAGGACCAUAUUAGCCGCUAACAAGGUUAAAUAGGUCAUAGGUGCUUUUACCUCAACGUUGUCGCAAUCAAUGAGUGAACAUUUCAAUGAACAGUUAGUAAAUCUUCUUCUUACUAUGCCCCGCUCGAAUCCUAUUUGCCCUGUUGAUAGGUCAGUAGAAUUCCUUACGUAUUAGAAUUAGUCAAUAUUUACAAAGCAAAUUCAAUAUUUUGGUCGAGCGCGAAACAAAGCCCAGGGCUAUAAAAUGGUAAAGACGCUUUGCAGCUAACAAGAACCUGCGGUUGAUCAUAAAGGUGAACUAUAGCAUUGUGAUCUAAUAACGGUGAAUUAUAUGUAUAAUUUUUUGUUCAUUUUUAAGAAGUUGUAAUGUUAAAGUGUGUGAACGGUUCUAUGCGAUUGUACUUGGUACCAAAAUUUCGAAAUCGUCGACGGUACUGAUUCCAUCUUUUCAGAUUUGA